This is a long non-coding RNA of Helicoverpa armigera (cotton bollworm), 727 nucleotides long. RefSeq lists it as uncharacterized. The transcript is spliced from 3 exons. NCBI's taxonomy places the organism in Eukaryota, Metazoa, Arthropoda, Insecta, Lepidoptera, Noctuidae. The record is from RefSeq and is a predicted model, not a curated record.
UUUUAAAGACAGUGUCAACGUAUUUUUUACGUCAAGUUGAUGUUAUUUAAAGGUUUCACCUUUUUCCCCUAUUCAUAUGCUAUUAUUUAUUUAUAUACACCAUAAAUUAGACAAAUAUAAUAGAAUAUUUUAAAAAACUAUAUAUAAAUUAUAUAUACAAAGAAGCUCAUCCGACAACACAAGGCGCUGAAUGUUGAAAGACGAACACUCAAAAAAGAUGUGAUGUAGUGUUUGAACCUUUUGCAAUUGACAAUAAUCACAAUAUGCUGAGCUGACCAUUUUGAGACGAUGAAGAACCAAGGUACAGUAUUAACUUGGACAUCGAGAGUAUUAAACCAUGAACCCACAUUUUCAUUGUGCACACAAUUAUAUGAAUGUCUCCCCCACGCUUCACACAUGCGUUGCCUCAAGAGACUAACUACAUCUGUGUAAGGUAUGGAAACACUUUUAUCGCUGCUGGGAAUUGAAUCCUCUAGUUCGACAAUUUUUUUGGCAAGAUAGUCUGCUUUUUCAUUUCCUUUAACGCCAAUAUGAGAUGGUACCCAUACAAAUUGAACUUCAAUAUUUGACUCAAUCAAUUGUACCCACAUUUCCUUAAUCAGAUGAAUAAUGUAGUUAGUGUUAGCAUGGAAUUUAUUAUUUGCUAUAUUUUGUAGGACACUCAUGCUAUCACUUAUUAUGACCCAUUUACUAGACUCUAAAUUGGAUUUUUUUAUAUGUUUCAGUG